GAUGAACGCUAGCGGCAGGCUUAACACAUGCAAGUCGAGGGGUAUAGUAGCAAUACUAGAGACCGGCGCACGGGUGCGUAACGCGUAUGCAAUCUACCUUUUACAGAGGGAUAGCCCAGAGAAAUUUGGAUUAAUACCUCAUAGUAUAAUUGAAUGGCAUCAUUUAAUUAUUAAAGUCACAACGGUAAAAGAUGAGCAUGCGUCCCAUUAGCUUGUUGGAAGGUAACGGCUUACCAAGGCUACGAUGGGUAGGGGUCC
This 258-nucleotide ribosomal RNA is filed under the name uncultured bacterium. Its description in RNAcentral is "partial 16S ribosomal RNA". It matches the Rfam family "Bacterial small subunit ribosomal RNA", at positions 28 to 292 of the family's 1533-position model. The record is from RNAcentral.